This 22-nucleotide microRNA is filed under the name Caenorhabditis remanei. RNAcentral describes it as "crm-miR-40". Its record names the gene crm-miR-40. The record is from miRBase by way of RNAcentral. Lineage: Eukaryota; Metazoa; Nematoda; Chromadorea; Rhabditida; Rhabditidae.
UCACCGGGUGUACAUCAGCUAG